AGGACGAACGCUGGCGGCGUGCUUAACACAUGCAAGUCGAGCGGAAAGGCCCUUCGGGGUACUCGAGCGGCGAACGGGUGAGUAACACGUGAGCAACCUGCCCUUAGCUUCGGGAUAGCUCCGGGAAACCGGAAUUAAUACCGAAUAUGACUUUGGCUGACAUCAGCAGAAGUGGAAAGUUUUUCGGCUAGGGAUGGACUCGCGGCCUAUCAGCUAGUUGGUGAGGUAACGGCCCACCAAGGCGACGACGGGUAGCCGGCCUGAGAGGGCGACCGGCCACACUGGGACUGAGACACGGCCCAGACUCCUACGGGAGGCAGCAGUGGGGAAUAUUGCGCAAUGGGCGAAAGCCUGACGCAGCGACGCCGCGUGGGGGAUGAAUGCCUUCGGUUGUAACCCUUUCAGCAGGGACGAAGCGAAAGUGACGGUACCUGCAGAAGAAGCGCCGGCUAACUACGUGCCAGCAGCCGC
This 471-nucleotide ribosomal RNA is filed under the name uncultured bacterium. RNAcentral's name for it is "SSU rRNA". It matches the Rfam family "Bacterial small subunit ribosomal RNA", at positions 26 to 518 of the family's 1533-position model. The record is from RNAcentral.